UACAGAGGGUGCGAGCGUUAAUCGGAAUUACUGGGCGUAAAGGGCGCGUAGGCGGCCUUCUAAGUCAGACGUGAAAUCCCUCGGCUCAACCGAGGAACUGCGUCUGAUACUGGAAGGCUUGAAUCCGGGAGAGGGAUGUGGAAUUCCAGGUGUAGCGGUGAAAUGCGUAGAUAUCUGGAGGAACACCGGUGGCGAAGGCGGCAUCCUGGACCGGUAUUGACGCUGAGGCGCGAAAGCUAGGGGAGCAAACGGG
RNAcentral lists this ribosomal RNA (253 nucleotides) under uncultured bacterium. Its description in RNAcentral is "partial 16S ribosomal RNA". It matches the Rfam family "Bacterial small subunit ribosomal RNA", at positions 524 to 776 of the family's 1533-position model. The record is from RNAcentral.